This 1036-nucleotide ribosomal RNA is filed under the name Vagococcus sp. wf-1. RNAcentral describes it as "bacterial SSU rRNA". It matches the Rfam family "Bacterial small subunit ribosomal RNA", at positions 36 to 1027 of the family's 1533-position model. Lineage: Bacteria; Bacillati; Bacillota; Bacilli; Lactobacillales; Enterococcaceae. The record is from RNAcentral.
CUUGGGGGCGUGCUAUACAUGCAAGUCGAACGCUUUGAUUUUCACCGGAGCUUGCUCCACCGAAAAUCAAAGAGUGGCGGACGGGUGAGUAACACGUGGGCAACCUGCCCAACAGAGGGGGAUAACACUUGGAAACAGGUGCUAAUACCGCAUAAUUUGUUUUCCCGCAUGGGAGAAUAAUAAAAGACGCUUCGGUGUCACUGUUGGAUGGGCCCGCGCUGCAUUAGUUAGUUGGUGGGGUAAUGGCCUACCAAGACCGUGAUGCAUAGCCGACCUGAGAGGGUGAUCGGCCACACUGGGACUGAGACACGGCCCAGACUCCUACGGGAGGCAGCAGUAGGGAAUCUUCGGCAAUGGACGAAAGUCUGACCGAGCAACGCCGCGUGAGUGAAGAAGGUUUUCGGAUCGUAAAACUCUGUUGUUAGAGAAGAACAAGUGGGAGAGUAACUGUUCCCACCUUGACGGUAUCUAACCAGAAAGCCACGGCUAACUACGUGCCAGCAGCCGCGGUAAUACGUAGGUGGCAAGCGUUGUCCGGAUUUAUUGGGCGUAAAGCGAGCGCAGGCGGUUUCUUAAGUCUGAUGUGAAAGCCCUCGGCUCAACCGAGGAAGGUCAUUGGAAACUGGGGAACUUGAAUGCAGAAGAGGAGAGUGGAAUUCCAUGUGUAGCGGUGAAAUGCGUAGAUAUAUGGAGGAACACCAGUGGCGAAGGCGACUCUCUGGUCUGUAAUUGACGCUGAGGCUCGAAAGCGUGGGGAGCAAACAGGAUUAGAUACCCUGGUAGUCCACGCCGUAAACGAUGAGUGCUAAGUGUUGGAGGGUUUCCGCCCUUCAGUGCUGCAGUUAACGCAUUAAGCACUCCGCCUGGGGGAGUACGGCCGCAAGGCUGAAACUCAAAGGGAAUUGACGGGGGCCCGCACAAGCGGGUGGGAGCAUGUGGGUUUAAAUUCGAAGGCAAACGCGAAAGAACCCUUUACCCAGGUCUUUGACAUCCCUUUUGACCCACUCUAGAGAUAGAGCUUUUCCCCUUUCGGGGG